This 73-nucleotide transfer RNA is filed under the name Vicugna pacos (alpaca). Its description in RNAcentral is "tRNA-Gly (ACC) (tRNA-Gly-ACC-20-1)". It matches the Rfam family "tRNA". From Rfam's summary of the family: Transfer RNA (tRNA) molecules are approximately 80 nucleotides in length. Their secondary structure includes four short double-helical elements and three loops (D, anti-codon, and T loops). The record is from RNAcentral. Lineage: Eukaryota; Metazoa; Chordata; Mammalia; Artiodactyla; Camelidae.
GGAGGGUAUAGCUCAGUGGUAGAGUGUGUGCCUACCAUGCAUGAGGUUCUGGGUUCAAUCCCCAGUACCUCCA